ACGUUAGCGGCGGACGGGUGAGUAACACGUGGGUAACCUACCUAUAAGACUGGGAUAACUUCGGGAAACCGGAAAAGCUAAUACCGGAUAAUAUUUCGAACCGCAUGGUUCGAUAGUGAAAGGUGGUUUUGCUAUCACUUAUAGAUGGACCCGCGCCGUAUUAGCUAGUUGGUAAGGUAACGGCUUACCAAGGCGACGAUACGUAGCCGACCUGAGAGGGUGAUCGGCCACACUGAACUGAGACACGGUCCAGACUCCUACGGGAGGCAGCAGCA
This 275-nucleotide ribosomal RNA is filed under the name uncultured Staphylococcus sp. RNAcentral's name for it is "partial 16S ribosomal RNA". It matches the Rfam family "Bacterial small subunit ribosomal RNA", at positions 89 to 355 of the family's 1533-position model. Lineage: Bacteria; Bacillati; Bacillota; Bacilli; Caryophanales; Staphylococcaceae. The record is from RNAcentral.